UGGGGAAUAUUGCACAAUGGAGGGAACUCUGAUGCAGCGACGCCGCGUGAGUGAUGAAGGAAUUCGUUUCGUAAAACUCUGUUCUAUGGGAAGAAAAGGACUGUACCAUAGGAGAAAGCUCCGGCUAAAUACGUGCCAGCAGCCGCGGUAAUACGUAUGGAGCGAGCGUUGUCCGGAAUUAUUGGGCGUAAAGGGUGCGCAGGCGGCUUUACAAGUUGGAUGUGAAAUAUUGUGGCUCAACCACAAACGUGCAUCCAAAACUGCAAAGCUUGAGUUAAGGAGAGGUAAGUGGAAUUCCUGGUGUAGCGGUGGAAUGCGUAGAUAUCAGGAGGAAUACCUGUGGCGAAGGCGACUUACUGGACUUAAACUGACGCUCAGGCACGAAAGCGUGGGGAGCAAACAGG
This 404-nucleotide ribosomal RNA is filed under the name Fusobacteriota bacterium. RNAcentral describes it as "Fusobacteria bacterium partial 16S ribosomal RNA". It matches the Rfam family "Bacterial small subunit ribosomal RNA", at positions 355 to 776 of the family's 1533-position model. The record is from RNAcentral. Lineage: Bacteria; Fusobacteriati; Fusobacteriota.